RNAcentral lists this ribosomal RNA (300 nucleotides) under uncultured bacterium. RNAcentral describes it as "bacterial SSU rRNA". It matches the Rfam family "Bacterial small subunit ribosomal RNA", at positions 1060 to 1382 of the family's 1533-position model. The record is from RNAcentral.
UCGUGUCGUGAGAUGUUCGGUUAAGUCCGGCAACGAGCGCAACCCACGUCCUUAGUUACCAGCAUUUAGUUGGGUACCCUAGGGAGACUGCCGGUGAUAAGCCGGAGGAAGGUGUGGAUGACGUCAAGUCCUCAUGGCCCUUACGGGUUGGGCUACACACGUGCUACAAUGGCGAUGACAGUGGGUUAAUCCCCAAAAAUCGUCUCAGUUCGGAUUGUCGUCUGCAACUCGACGGCAUGAAGUCGGAAUCGCUAGUAAUCGCGUAACAGCAUGACGCGGUCGAAUACGUUCCCGGGCCUU